RNAcentral lists this ribosomal RNA (671 nucleotides) under uncultured forest soil bacterium. RNAcentral describes it as "bacterial SSU rRNA". It matches the Rfam family "Bacterial small subunit ribosomal RNA", at positions 64 to 767 of the family's 1533-position model. The record is from RNAcentral.
GAACGAGAAAGUGGAGCAAUCCAUGAGUAAAGUGGCGCACGGGUGAGUAACACGUGACUAACCUACCCUGGAGUGGGGGAUAACUGAGGGAAACCUUAGCUAAUACCGCAUAAUACCCACGGGUCAAAGGAGCAAUUCGCUCUGGGAGGGGGUCGCGGCCGAUUAGUUAGUUGGCGGGGUAAUGGCCCACCAAGACUGUGAUCGGUAUCCGGCCUGAGAGGGCGCACGGACACACUGGAACUGAAACACGGUCCAGACUCCUACGGGAGGCAGCAGUGGGGAAUUUUGCGCAAUGGGGGAAACCCUGACGCAGCAACGCCGCGUGGAGGAUGAAGUACUUCGGUACGUAAACUCCUUUCGAUCGGGACGAUUAUGACGGUACCGGAAGAAGAAGCCCCGGCUAACUUCGUGCCAGCAGCCGCGGUAAUACGAGGGGGGCAAGCGUUGUUCGGAAUUAUUGGGCGUAAGGGGUGCGUAGGCGGUUUGGUAAGUCUCUUGUGAAAUCUAUGGGCUCAACUCAUAGACUGCAAGGGAAACUGCCGGGCUUGAGUGUGGGAGAGGUGAGUGGAAUUUCCGGUGUAGCGGUGAAAUGCGUAGAUAUCGGAAGGAACACCUGUGGCGAAAGCGGCUCACUGGACNACAACUGACGCUGAUGCACGAAAGCUAGGGGA